Long non-coding RNA from Hirundo rustica (Barn swallow), 5377 nucleotides. RefSeq lists it as uncharacterized. The transcript is spliced from 4 exons. NCBI's taxonomy places the organism in Eukaryota, Metazoa, Chordata, Aves, Passeriformes, Hirundinidae. The record is from RefSeq and is a predicted model, not a curated record.
CCCAGUGUCUGCACCAGACUGCACUGAAAGGGGAAGGCUGGGGAAAUCAAGAAAAUCCACUUUAACUUUGUCAAUAAACAAAUUAAUCCCAUAGCAUUUUCCUAAAAUACAUUUGCGUUUCUUCUUGCACCACAAAACCAGUAACUUGUACAGAGGAAUUUGCAUAAGAGGAAGACAAAUUCACCAGGCAAAAAUCUGCUUCUUCCCGGCACUGACCAGGAACUGAGGGCCUGAACUUAGUCUGCUGCUCCCCAGCUCUUACAGAGACGUGGCAAUGUUUGCUGUGGCUACCGGGCCUGAGACAUCAGCAGUGAUAUCACGUGAGGAAAGGAAAAUGUUCAAAACCUCGGCUCUUCGUUCAUCAGGGAAGCUGGUAUCAACAGAAACUUUUCAGUACAUAUCAAAGGAGAGUGGUGACAGAAGUGAGAAAAAUAAAAUGCUGCACAUCAUUAUCUUCCUACUGAAUCUAGCAGGUUUGCAAACAAACACUCACCCAAAACGCAGAAGCUCAAAAGAUGCAGAAUAAAGCCACGUGCUCCUGGUUAUGGAGUCGCUGAAGAUUUGGGCAGUCAGGCAUGCGCUGGUACUUGGCAGACAGACUGUCUACAAUCCACAGCCCUCACUGCUCUCUUCCCUGCACUCGUGGGGUUUGGAAUCACAUCUGUCAUGAUGCUCCUCUAACAAGAAAACUGAACCCAAAACUCUCUGCAGGCAGAAACAGAUUUUUUUUCUCAGCUGUUAUUUCUAAUACAAGUUUUUUUACCAGGGAAUCGGGCUGAUUAAGAACUCUUAACUGGAAAGGAAUGAGAUGGAGGUUCUGAGUAUGACAAAAUACUAGCAAGAGUCUUCUAAGUGGCAGAGGUGAGGUUUGUGUUUCUUUGUUGUCUAACUGAUUUUAUUUCAUUUAUAUACCAAACCUAUAAUUUCUGUGCUGCCCAGCUGACUUGAAUGUUUUCGUCUGUGCCUUUCAGUUUGCUGAACUUGACUGACAGCUGUUUGAAAUUGCUCAGUGUGAUCAACGGGAGCAACUCCCUUAUAUUUACUUCAGAAAAGUUAGUAAUAUUGUGACAGAUGACUUUGCUGAGUUACAUCGCACUCCCUCAGACAGAUGUAAGGGGGCAAUUUGGGACAUGUCAAUGCUGAUGUUCAUACAGAGGGGCAUUACGUUCCUGCACCCACAAAGAGGGUGCUAGAAGUAAAAAUAGUACUUAGGCAAGGCAGCAGCUCUCUCCUGCUUCGCCUCUGUACCAGAUACUCUUGGUUUUUAAAGACGUUCUUCAGUGUUUUGCGCAUCCCCUGAACGCUCGGUAGCUGCGGAAGGCACGGCCAGCCUGGAGCCCUAUUCCAGGUCACCGUGCCCGUGUGCUGCCUGCGGAUCCGAGUCACGGACCUUGGGGCAGGCACGAUUUCGCCUUAUUCAGCUCUGCUGCUUUAUCUCUGCGGUGCUUUCCUAUUGCCAUGACAGCCGAGAAGCCGCCCCCUAACCCCGGCUCCCUGAGCGAGUGAGAGGAACGGUCCCUGAGGGAGAGGAACGGUGUUCCUGCGGUGCGAUCCAGUCUCUGUCCUGGUGUUCCUGUGGUGCGGUCCCGGUGUCUCUGCUCUCAGUCCCAUCUCUGUCCCGGUGUCUCUUUUCUCAGACCCGUGUCUGUCCCGGUGUCUCUGCUCUCAGUCCCAUCUGUCCCGGUGUCUCCGCUGGCAGUCCCGUGUCUGUCCCGGUGUCUCUGCUCUCAGCCCCGUCUCUGGCCCAGUGUCUCCACUGGCAGUCCCGUCUCUGUCCCAGUGUCUCUGCUCUCAGUCCCGUCUCUGUUCCAGCACAGGCAGCGAUGCCAUCCAGCGAGCAGGAGCAGCAGGCUUCUGACACCAAACACCGGGAAAUGUGCCUGUCCUGUCGGCCCACAGAAGGGAAGGGCAGGACCGCACUGCCCAAGGAAUCUCUUGGAAUCCUCUUGGAAUCCUCAUGCCAAGGUCCCCUCCAGACGUGGGUUUGAAUCAUGCUUUGAUGUUUGCAUGCCGUUUUGAGUUGCCUUUUCUUCCCCCCACUUUUGAGCUGAACAAUUUCUCCCAGGAGGGAUUUUUGUCUCCUGCUGCACUCGAUGCCCGUGCUGCCUGCGGGAACACGACAGCUGCCGGGUCCCACUCGCUGCUGCGCACAUGCAGGGGUGCCUUUCCUGCAGGGGAGGCAGUGUGGGCACCGCGGACGAGGCGGCUCCGGGCAUGCACCUUCUCAGCAGUGAAGCCCCCUGCCCCCGGCCAUUUGCUCCGGAAUGAAGGCACUGCUCUUUGUUAGGUCCCAGUGCAGCAGCGAGGUGCCUCAGCAGCACAGCGGGGACAUCGGGGAUCCCAAGGAGCGGUUCCGUGCUCCUUCCAAAGGCCGCAUCCCACGGCAGCAUCCCUCACUGGCCCUCAGGAGCCGGCUGCAGGAGGAGCCAGCAAACCAGCGGCGGGGUUUGCGAGGGAACAACUCCGCCUUGUCACAAACAACAUUCCUUCCUGCUAUUUCAGGGUCUGGAAACCAGUGGCUUCCAGUGGCUGGGCUGAAUUUUUGCUCCAGACUGAAAGGAGAGGAGCAAUGUCCAUUAUUGCAGCAGCCAGGAAACAAUUAUACAGCCAAAAAGUGAGGAGACAAGAAGAUGCUGGUUUCGCUCUGUCUUGGCAAUGAGGAUGGUUAUUUAAUAAAUGCAAUGGCUAGCUUUUACUUCAGAACACGCUUUCAAACAGACAGAGGAGCUUGCACUCCCAGCUGGAAGGAUUCCAGGUAGGGCAGCAGCAGGGACAGUAAUCCCAUUGUAAGGCUCCCCACUGUGCCCCAGUGCACCUAUCCAUGAAUAGUGAGGGCCCAAAUCUUUAAUUCCUGUGGCUUUGGUUAUCAAGGAUGCCACAGCAGAUCACACACUUAAGAAGAUUACCUAUUAAGAUGAAAAAAAAUUGGUAAGUUUUCCAUUUUAAAACAUCCAUAUAGGGGGAAAAUUAUUUUAAACCUUGAAUAUAUUCAUACAAUAGAGGCAAUGUUGAUGCUUAGGCCUGUCACAAGAAAUUCUGAGGUUAGUUCCACUGUUUUCUUAUCUUCUGAAGUGAAUUUGUUCUCUCCCUGUUGCAGUCACACGUAAGUUACUACCUAGCAGCCACAUUUUUAAAGGAACAAAGUCAGCUCGCUGCAGGUAGGGGCGAGGGUAGCUUAGUACCUAAGCACUUGGCUAACACCUCUAAAAUUUCCUGUGGCCUAAUUCUGCAAGUACUUGAGCAGCUUUGCUUUUGUGAGCAGUCCCACAGAAGUCAACAGAAUGUCUAAAUAUAAAAUCACACGGGAUGAAGUUUCACUGCCAAAAUGUGUAAUCCUGUAAACUGCACUAAUGGAGAUGUUUCAAGCAGAUAACUAAAGAUAACUUCAAUGAUUAAGACUAAGUAAAAAUAGGAUAGUGUAGCAAGGACUGGGUAUAUUUAAUGAAGUGGCUAAGAGCUACUAAAUUAUAACUUCAUCUCUCAAUCCAGGCUUUGAAUCUGAUGCUUUAAGAUUGGCAGAUCAUGAGAGUUUCCAACAAAAAUGAGAGUUUCUUUGCUGUAUCCACAAUUCUGCUUUGCUGUAUCUAAAUUGGCUGAGACAUGGUUAGUCACUGGUACAGGAAGCACUGGUAAAUUAAAUUGUGUUUUAAAUUACCGCAGACUACCUAACUUUAACAUUGCCAUGAAUAUCAAAGCAUUUCUAAAGGUUUGUAAGAAAUGAUGAUAACUGGGGGGUUUUGCUACAUUGACUAUUAUGGUUAAUGAAACAAGAUGCAAAGGUUGUUGUUCUACUGCCUGUACCAGUGAAAAAGCUCACUGAGAACAGAUAGUUCAUGAAUGCUUAAGCUACAAUUUAACCAUGGUCUGGAAGGCAGUUUUAGCACUGAUCACACAUCUUUCAGUUAGGCACACACCUCAAUUCCCAAGGUGCUUUAAAAAGUACAAUUAUUUGAAAUUUGAAAUGUUUACUACCUGUAAGCAAACUCCAAAAUAUUGGAAAAGCAAAUGAACACACAGAUAAAGGACAGAGAGAAGACUAGGUAAAAAUGUAAACAAAUAUUCAUACAGUUCAGUUAUACUCUAUUUACAUAGCAGAAUGAUACUACAGCUGCUGUGAAACUCCGCUGGAACCACAACCAGAAAGGAUUUUUUAUUUCUACAUGUCUUUUACCCUCUUAGGGAGAAAAAUAUUUCCCACCUGUCUUAGUAAAAGGUGAAUGCCAUUUAAUCAUCAAGUUUGAUAUUUACAAAGGACUCUAACUGCUUUCAUGUACAAAAGAGACAAGAGAAUAUAAUUCAUUAAAUGAUUAUGUAGGUGCUGGUUUGGUGAUUCAGUGUUUGCUAUUCAUAGAUUUUUUGACAUAAACAGCACGAAACUGCAAGCUAAACUGAUGGACAAGUUGACUUGAGCUCAGUUGACUUGAGCCAUGUUAUUUAAAUCAUCUCUUUCUGUGGCAGUGCUAACCUAAGAGUAAACAGAAGGUAUUUGAGAGUACUGUGAACAGGCUGGCAGGCAGUAAUUAUGAGAGACUCAUCAAGGAGAUGGCAUAAAGUGAGUCUAUUACCUGUUCUACAAACAAAAAUGAUGGCUCUGAGACCCUGGAUCACGAACAUCAUGUUUACCAAGACUCUCAGGCUCGUCACACAAAGAAUGAAAUCCUGUCACUAAUUGUCAGCAUGCUGACAGCACUCAGAAGUGCAAGUUCAAAAACCAUCUCUGCGAGCUAGAGAAAUUCUUUUUAAAUCUAAUACAGUCAAAACCACAGUAAAUUUACAUGAGUUUUAAUAGUUUUAGUAAUUUCAGUGCAACACCUUACCUGUUACCCUGCAAAAAGAAUGAGUGAGUGCUGAUCCCUUCAUUGCUGCAGUAUCAGCCCCAAGAAACACGCUGCAGGGGAGUCACGUUUUACAGAGGAGAAGCUGAAUGAAUUCCCCUGGUGUUUCCUGUGCCUAAUCGGAUCGGGGAUGGUAAUCUGGGAGGAGCCAGCAACGAUCUUUUCUUAACCUGCACUGCGUGGGGAGUGCCUCGGGGACCAUGCAGAUAAUCACCCCUAAACUGCUUUGGAAAGGUCUGCCCGGCCUUUAAAGGGAUUGAGGCAAACAGGCCGCAGCAGCCCCAGCUCUGCUCUUCCUGUCCACCUCAUCUCCUAUUAGCAACAAGUAAGUAGGCAUUUAUUUGUGUGCAUCUACGUGCACCACACAAAUAAACACGGAGCCCCAGAGAGAAUUUUGUGAAGUGAGAUUAAUUACAGUUAAACUGAUAUAAUGAUUUUGAAAUGCCAUGAAAAGAGAAUUAGAUAGAAAUGCUCCAUUGCUGUCUGGGCUUAUCAUUGUUAUCUGCACAAAACAUUUUUCCUUACCCAGUAAAAGAACAAAA